UGUUAAGCCUGCUGCUUAGGGAGUACGGUCGCAAGACUGAAACUUAAAGGAAUUGGCGGGAGAGCACAGCAACGGGAGGAGCGUGCGGUUUAAUUGGAUUCAACGCCGGAAAACUCACCAGGGGCGACUGUUACAUGAAGGCCAAGCUGAUGACUUUGCCUGAUUUUCAGAGAGGUGGUGCAUGGCCGCCGUCAGUUCGUACCGUGAGGCGUUCUCUUAAGUGAGAUAACGAACGAGACCCUCGCCUCUAUUUGCCAUCCUUCUCCUCGGAGAUGGAGCACUAUAGAGGGACCGCUGGCGCUAAGUCAGAGGAAGGAGAGGUCAACGGUAGGUCAGUAUGCCCCGAAUCUCCUGGGCCACACGCGCGCUACAAAGGACGGGACAAUGGGCUGCAACACCGAGAGGUGAAGCCAAUCCCGAAACCCGUUCGUAGUCCGGACUGAGGGUUGUAACUCACCCUCACGAAGCUGGAUUCCGUAGUAAUCGCGGAUCAACAUCCCGCGGUGAAUGUGCCCCUGCUCUUUGCACACACCGCCCGUCAAACCAUCCGAGUUGGGUCUGGAUGAGGG
Molecule: ribosomal RNA, 569 nt
Filed under: uncultured Thermoplasmatales archaeon
Lineage: Archaea; Methanobacteriati; Thermoplasmatota; Thermoplasmata; Thermoplasmatales
Description: bacterial SSU rRNA
Rfam family: Archaeal small subunit ribosomal RNA
Source: RNAcentral